RNAcentral lists this unclassified non-coding RNA (200 nucleotides) under Dictyosporium sp. RNAcentral's name for it is "partial internal transcribed spacer 2". The record is from RNAcentral. Lineage: Eukaryota; Fungi; Ascomycota; Dothideomycetes; Pleosporales; Dictyosporiaceae.
UUAAGUUCAGCGGGUAUCCCUACCUGAUUCGAGGUCAAACUGGGUGGUAUCUUCAUGGACGCGAGCCCGCCAGAUGCCUUCUGGAGCGCAAUGUGCUGCGCGAGAAGCUGGCGAUGCCGCUGCCAAUGUAUUUAAGGCGAGUCCUUGCGGACAACGCCCAACACCAAGCGAAGCUUGAGGGUGUAAAUGACGCUCGAACA